ACCAAUGUGUCUAAGAUGUGUAACUGAUCUUGCCGGGCCAGAAAAACAUGCAAGAAAAAAAGGGAUAUUUGAAUGCUUCAAACCACAAUUUCCACUAAUUGCCACAGUGCUAGAACUUGGUUUAGGUUACCCACCUGACACCUGUAGUCUCUAGUUAUAUAAUUAAAAGACAAGUAACUAAACGAAAGUAUAUCAAUUACACUAAUAAAAUGAUUAAAUUAAUUUUCUUUGUCUUUAAUAUUAAAAAUUUUAAUAAAAAUAUUUACUUAAUUAACUAAAAUUACUUCCCUCUGCUUUUUAGGUCCGUGCAAAAACUGGUGAUGGUGCCUAUAUGGCACAACUGUGUGAUUUUUUAUUUAUUUAGUAUGAAUUGGUACAAUUGAAACAAUAAAAAUUGUUAUAGUACAUGCAAAAUACCAGUUACCGUGCCUGAAAUUACCUGGCGCAUUUAGCAAGAAAACGGUCUUGGCUGUGGACUUGUCAAAGCGAAAAGCUAUUGAAAGGUUUUGUGCAGAGGUAAAAAGGCUGUGCCAUGCUGAAAAGAGGAAGGAUUGCGUCGGAAGCCUACUUGCUCACCCUAGGAAAAUUUAUUAGUAUGAUUGCGGUGCUAGAUAAACUGAAAAACAUGAAAUCAUGUGUGAAAAAUGAUUAUU
Non-coding RNA from Bemisia tabaci, 653 nucleotides. Lineage: Eukaryota; Metazoa; Arthropoda; Insecta; Hemiptera; Aleyrodidae. The record is from RefSeq and is a predicted model, not a curated record.